UAGGGAAUCUUCCACAAUGGACGCAAGUCUGAUGGAGCAACGCCGCGUGAGUGAAGAAGGUUUUCGGACCGUAAAGCUCUGUUGUUGGUGAAGAAGGAUAGAGGUAGUAACUGGCCUUUAUUUGACGGUAAUCAACCAGAAAGUCACGGCUAACUACGUGCCAGCAGCCGCGGUAAUCGUAGGUGGCAAGCGUUGUCCGGAUUUAUUGGGCGUAAAGCGAGCGCAGGCGGAAGAAUAAGUCUGAUGUGAAAGCCCUCGGCUUAACCGAGGAAUUGCAUCGGAAACUGUUUUCUUGAGUGCAGAAGAGGAGAGUAGAACUCCAUGUGUAGCGGUGGAAUGCGUAGAUAUAUGGAAGAAUACCAGUGGCGAAGGCGGCUCUCUGGUCUGCAACUGACGCUGAGGCUCGAAAGCAUGGGUAGCGAACAGGAUUAGAUACCCUUGGUAGUCCAUGCCGUAAACGAUGAGUGCUAAGUGUUGGGAGGCUUCCGCCUCUCAGUGCUGCAGCUAACGCAUUAAGCACUCCGCCUGGGGGAGUACGACCGCAAGGUU
Molecule: ribosomal RNA, 549 nt
Filed under: uncultured bacterium
Lineage: Bacteria
Description: partial 16S ribosomal RNA
Rfam family: Bacterial small subunit ribosomal RNA
Source: RNAcentral